CCUAACACAUGCAAGUCGAACGGUAACAGGAAACAGCUUGCUGUUUCGCUGACGAGUGGCGGACGGGUGAGUAAUGUCUGGGAAACUGCCUGAUGGAGGGGGAUAACUACUGGAAACGGUAGCUAAUACCGCAUAACGUCGCAAGACCAAAGAGGGGGACCUUCGGGCCUCUUGCCAUCGGAUGUGCCCAGAUGGGAUUAGCUAGUAGGUGGGGUAACGGCUCACCUAGGCGACGAUCCCUAGCUGGUCUGAGAGGAUGACCAGCCACACUGGAACUGAGACACGGUCCAGACUCCUACGGGAGGCAGCAGUGGGGAAUAUUGCACAAUGGGCGCAAGCCUGAUGCAGCCAUGCCGCGUGUAUGAAG
This 367-nucleotide ribosomal RNA is filed under the name uncultured bacterium. Its description in RNAcentral is "bacterial SSU rRNA". It matches the Rfam family "Bacterial small subunit ribosomal RNA", at positions 47 to 410 of the family's 1533-position model. The record is from RNAcentral.